RNAcentral lists this ribosomal RNA (253 nucleotides) under uncultured bacterium. Its description in RNAcentral is "partial 16S ribosomal RNA". It matches the Rfam family "Bacterial small subunit ribosomal RNA", at positions 524 to 776 of the family's 1533-position model. The record is from RNAcentral.
UACGUAGGGUGCUAGCGUUGUUCGGAAUCAUUGGGCGUAAAGCGCGUGCAGGCUGUUAGUUAAGUCGGGUGUGAAAUCCCUGGGCUCAACCGAGGAAGUGCAUCCGAAACUGGCUAGCUAGAGAGUGGUAGAGGAAGGUGGAAUUCCAAGUGUAGAGGUGAAAUUCGUAGAUAUUUGGAGGAAUACCGGUGGCGAAGGCGGCCUUCUGGACCAUUUCUGACGCUGAGACGCGAAAGCGUGGGGAGCAAACAGG